RNAcentral lists this transfer RNA (72 nucleotides) under Phrynosoma platyrhinos (Desert horned lizard). RNAcentral describes it as "tRNA-OTHER". The record is from RNAcentral. Lineage: Eukaryota; Metazoa; Chordata; Lepidosauria; Squamata; Phrynosomatidae.
GCCAGUGUGGCAUAAUGGUUUGAGUGUUGAACUAUGACUCUAGAGGCCAGGGUUCAAUUCCCAGCUUGGUCA